GUCCCGAUAGCUCAGUUGGCAGAUCGUAGGUCUCAUAAUCCUAAGGUCGUGAGUUCGAGCCUCACUCGGGGCA
This 73-nucleotide transfer RNA is filed under the name Daphnia pulex (common water flea). RNAcentral describes it as "tRNA-Met". It matches the Rfam family "tRNA". From Rfam's summary of the family: Transfer RNA (tRNA) molecules are approximately 80 nucleotides in length. Their secondary structure includes four short double-helical elements and three loops (D, anti-codon, and T loops). Further hydrogen bonds mediate the characteristic L-shaped molecular structure. tRNAs have two regions of fundamental functional importance: the anti-codon, which is responsible for specific mRNA codon recognition, and the 3' end, to which the tRNAs corresponding amino acid is attached (by aminoacyl-tRNA synthetases). tRNAs cope with the degeneracy of the genetic code in two manners: having more than one tRNA (with a specific anti-codon) for a particular amino acid; and 'wobble' base-pairing, i.e. permitting non-standard base-pairing at the 3rd anti-codon position. The record is from RNAcentral. Lineage: Eukaryota; Metazoa; Arthropoda; Branchiopoda; Diplostraca; Daphniidae.